GCUUCUUUGCUGACGAGUGGCGGACGGGUGAGUAAUGUCUGGGAAACUGCCUGAUGGAGGGGGAUAACUACUGGAAACGGUAGCUAAUACCGCAUAACGUCGCAAGACCAAAGAGGGGGACCUUCGGGCCUCUUGCCAUCGGAUGUGCCCAGAUGGGAUUAGCUAGUAGGUGGGGUAACGGCUCACCUAGGCGACGAUCCCUAGCUGGUCUGAGAGGAUGACCAGCCACACUGGAACUGAGACACGGUCCAGACUCCUACGGGAGGCAGCAGUGGGGAAUAUUGCACAAUGGGCGCAAGCCUGAUGCAGCCAUGCCGCGUGUAUGAAGAAGGCCUUCGGGUUGUAAAGUACUUUCAGCGGGGAGGAAGGGAGUAAAGUUAAUACCUUUGCUCAUUGACGUUACCCGCAGAAGAAGCACCGGCUAACUCCGUGCCAGCAGCCGCGGUAAUACGGAGGGUGCAAGCGUUAAUCGGAAUUACUGGGCGUAAAGCGCACGCAGGCGGUUUGUUAAGUCAGAUGUGAAAUCCCCGGGCUCAACCUGGGAACUGCAUCUGAUACUGGCAAGCUUGAGUCUCGUAGAGGGGGGUAGAAUUCCAGGUGUAGCGGUGAAAUGCGUAGAGAUCUGG
This 626-nucleotide ribosomal RNA is filed under the name Escherichia coli. RNAcentral's name for it is "bacterial SSU rRNA". It matches the Rfam family "Bacterial small subunit ribosomal RNA", at positions 79 to 701 of the family's 1533-position model. The record is from RNAcentral. Lineage: Bacteria; Pseudomonadati; Pseudomonadota; Gammaproteobacteria; Enterobacterales; Enterobacteriaceae.